This 471-nucleotide ribosomal RNA is filed under the name uncultured Pseudomonadota bacterium. Its description in RNAcentral is "bacterial SSU rRNA". It matches the Rfam family "Bacterial small subunit ribosomal RNA", at positions 8 to 522 of the family's 1533-position model. The record is from RNAcentral. Lineage: Bacteria; Pseudomonadati; Pseudomonadota.
AGAGUUUGAUCAUGGCUCAGAGCGAACGCUGGCGGCAGGCUUAACACAUGCAAGUCGAGCGGGCGUAGCAAUACGUCAGCGGCAGACGGGUGAGUAACGCGUGGGAACGUACCUUUUGGUUCGGAACAACACAGGGAAACUUGUGCUAAUACCGGAUAAGCCCUUACGGGGAAAGAUUUAUCGCCGAAAGAUCGGCCCGCGUCUGAUUAGCUAGUUGGUGAGGUAACGGCUCACCAAGGCGACGAUCAGUAGCUGGUCUGAGAGGAUGAUCAGCCACAUUGGGACUGAGACACGGCCCAAACUCCUACGGGAGGCAGCAGUGGGGAAUAUUGGACAAUGGGCGCAAGCCUGAUCCAGCCAUGCCGCGUGAGUGAUGAAGGCCCUAGGGUUGUAAAGCUCUUUUGUGCGGGAAGAUAAUGACGGUACCGCAAGAAUAAGCCCCGGGCUAACUUCGUGCCAGCAGCCGCGGUA